AAGGUAGCGAAAUUCCUUGUCGGGUAAGUUCCGACCUGCACGAAUGGCGUAACGACUUCCCCACUGUCUCGACCAGGAGCUCGGCGAAAUUGCAGUACGAGUAAAGAUGCUCGUUAAGCGCAGAAGGACGAAAAGACCCCGGGACCUUUACUAUACCUUGGUAUUGGCAUUCGGUGUGGAUUGUGUAGCAUAGGCGGGAGGCCGAGAGGCGCGGUCGCCAGAUCGCGCGGAGCCGUAAGGUGAAAUACCGCUCUGUUCGCAUUGGAUGUCUAACCUCGAACAGUCAUCCUGUUCAGGGACAGUGCCUGGCGGGUAGUUUAACUGGGGCGGUUGCCUCCCAAAGAGUAACGGAGGCGCCCAAAGGUCCGCUCAGCCCGGUUGGCAAUCGGGUGGCGAGUGCAAGUGCACAAGCGGGCUUGACUGCGAGGACGACGGUCCGAGCAGGGACGAAAGUCGGGACUAGUGAUCCGGUGCCGGUGUACGGACGCGGCAUCGCUCAACGGAUAAAAGGUACCCCGGGGAUAACAGGCUGAUCAUUCCCAAGAGUCCAUAUCGACGGGAUGGUUUGGCACCUCGAUGUCGGCUCGUCGCAUCCUGGGGCUGGAGAAGGUCCCAAGGGUUCGGCUGUUCGCCGAUUAAAGCGGCACGCGAGCUGGGUUCAGAACGUCGUGAGACAGUUUGGUCUCUAUCCUCUGCGCUCGUUGGAAUGCUGAGGAGGCCUGCCCAUAGUACGAGAGGACCUGGGUGGACGAACCUCUGGUAUGCCGGUUGUCACGCCAGUGGCACGGCCGGUUGGCUACGUUCGGAAGGGAUAACCGCUGAAAGCAUCUAAGCGGGAAGCCUGCUCCAAGAUAAGCAUUCCGUGGAACCUUCGAGUUCCUGUAGUCCCCAUGCAGAACACGUGGUCGAUAGGCCGGACGUGGAAGCCCCGCGAGGGGUGGAGCCGACCGGUACUAACGGACGAAAGGCAACACUAA
Molecule: ribosomal RNA, 977 nt
Filed under: human gut metagenome
Description: bacterial LSU rRNA
Rfam family: Bacterial large subunit ribosomal RNA
Source: RNAcentral